CCUUUUGCCUGAUUCCAGGCUGAGGUAGUAGUUUGUACAGUUUGAGGGUCUAUGAUACCACCCGGUACAGGAGAUAACUGUACAGGCCACUGCCUUGCCAGGAACAGCGCG
MicroRNA precursor from Equus asinus (donkey), 111 nucleotides. Ensembl annotates it as microRNA let-7g. NCBI's taxonomy places the organism in Eukaryota, Metazoa, Chordata, Mammalia, Perissodactyla, Equidae. The record is from Ensembl.